GGUAUGGUACUCAAGUGGCUAAAGAGGGCGGACUGCAAAUUCGCUAGUCGUUGGUUCGAAUCCAACCUAUACCU
Molecule: transfer RNA, 74 nt
Filed under: Bacilli bacterium
Lineage: Bacteria; Bacillati; Bacillota; Bacilli
Description: tRNA-Cys
Rfam family: tRNA
About the family: Transfer RNA (tRNA) molecules are approximately 80 nucleotides in length. Their secondary structure includes four short double-helical elements and three loops (D, anti-codon, and T loops). Further hydrogen bonds mediate the characteristic L-shaped molecular structure. tRNAs have two regions of fundamental functional importance: the anti-codon, which is responsible for specific mRNA codon recognition, and the 3' end, to which the tRNAs corresponding amino acid is attached (by aminoacyl-tRNA synthetases). tRNAs cope with the degeneracy of the genetic code in two manners: having more than one tRNA (with a specific anti-codon) for a particular amino acid; and 'wobble' base-pairing, i.e. permitting non-standard base-pairing at the 3rd anti-codon position.
Source: RNAcentral